CACAAUUUGACUUCAUUCCAUUAGCAAGUACCAGUGGGUUGAUUGUGUACAUUCCACAACGAGUUAUGAGACAGUUCGGGUACCCGCAGAGAGUGCCGACCAUACAAGAAAUGGGAAGUAUCGAGCUUAAUACAGUCACUGAGUGCCGGACUAUGGUGUUAGAAGGCUGGGGAAAUCUGUGUAGUUUGGACAACCUGCAUUUGGACCAAGUGAACAAGGUAGAGC
Molecule: long non-coding RNA, 225 nt
Filed under: Coffea arabica (coffee)
Lineage: Eukaryota; Viridiplantae; Streptophyta; Magnoliopsida; Gentianales; Rubiaceae
Description: long non-coding RNA (CARA_LNC004597)
Source: RNAcentral